Molecule: long non-coding RNA, 982 nt
Filed under: Cricetulus griseus (Chinese hamster)
Lineage: Eukaryota; Metazoa; Chordata; Mammalia; Rodentia; Cricetidae
Description: lncRNA (ENSCGRG00015041771.1)
Source: RNAcentral
CGGUGCCAUAACUGUCCCAGGAACGGUGCCUUGGGGGCCGAAGGGCCGAGAAAGCCAGGGAGCUGCCACGGACUCGGCCGGCGGAGGUGUGCCCACCGUGUACCCCACCGUCCAGCACAAGCCAGGGUCGCUUUAAAGGGCCAUGCGCAUGCCCGGCUCUGGCUGUGGCUUUGUAAGGUGACGUCCUUCGCAGGCCUGCUGUACACAGUGUGACAGAAGAACUUGAGGAUACAUUUCUGAAGAUAGUAUCAAUCAAUCUACACAGAGAUGAGGAUGACUUGCCAUGAAGAUAGUCAAGAAACCUGAGAUUAAAGCUGCAUGCACAUUAAGAAUCUGAAGAAAAUUGUGUCAUGAAGUCAUAUUUUAGUGUAAAACCUGUUCUGAGUUGAUAAAACUGGACAGUGAAUGGGAAGAGUGACAGACAAGGAAAUGCUGCAAAUUGUACUUGUGAAUGUGUUGAGCUCAGGAGAAGGAAGCAGCAUCUGUUCCAGAAAUAUCCACCAGUUGAGACUCAAGAAGUCAAAUAUACCUAAUCCUGCAGAUCACAUUCUUCCAACAGGAGGUGUUGAAAAGAAAAGGACAGUCUACCAUCUGCUUAGCCAUCUGUUUCAGAAGACCUAUUCCUUAUUUUGUGCCAUUGGGGCUUUUUACAAAAUGAUCAGCAUCAUCAAAGACCCCAAAUAAAAGCAUAUGAUAACAUCAUCUAAUAGCUGUCUCAGAUGGUGUCAGCUUCUGGGUUUUCACAAGAUAUUUUCCUAUUGAAUUAUGUCCUUUAAAAUAUGUGCAAUGUGGAAAAAACAUGAUCUGUGAAUCAGUGGCUUUCAUGCUGAACUCUACUUUUAAAUUAUGUGAGACAAUUGCCUAGAUCUCUUACCUUAAAAUUCCUCCCAUGUAAAAUGUAAAUAUAUUUAUUUCCCAGAAUAAAAGCUCUGUGUACACAGGAUCCUCCAUCUCUUUUUGUUCCCUGAUGCAGUUAUCAGAA